UAAAUUAUUUUGUUGUAAUUGGGGCAUUUAAAAAGUAAUUUAAUAAUUUACACUGAAACAAUAGAAUUCGUUUUAUCAAUGACAGAUCAGGGUGCAAUAUCUACACUCAAGAAUGCUUUAGAUAAUUUAAUAAUAAAAAAGUGUAAAGCAGUGAUAGGUUAACUUUAUAAGUUUAUGAGACUCUGUAAAUUAUUACUGUUUAUAUGGCUAAAAAAGAGUAGAGUAAAUGACUAGAUGGAUAAGUAUAGUUUUAGUGACACCCUGUUGGAAAUGCUUCUGGUAUAAACUAAUAACACUGGCAAGUUUCCAGAUAAUUUCACUCAGUGAUGUAUUGCUCAAUUAAAGUAGCUAUUCCCAUUUCGUGUUUCACAUUUCACGAAACUCGAGGCGUGAAUUAUAUUGCUUUUUCAUUUAUCUUAGACUAUAAACAAUAUUCUUUUUGUUUCAGCAUUCGCAACAAUUUGCCUACAACAGAAAAGUCCUUACAAGCCACUGUACCAAGAAUAUUUUGGACUAUGGUAUAGAAAGUACUUUGAAGUAUUCGUCACAGUUUCCUGUCACUCAGUGUUUUGGAUUGUUUAGUAUGGAAGUGAGCACUACAGUGUUAAUAUUCCAUAAUUCUUCUUUCUAAACCAUUGACAGUACAAAUAAAAAGAUUGAAGAUAUAUGAGAGAGGAUAUUGACUUCAUUUUGAUUCUACUAAAAAAACAAGGUUUUCUACUACAGUGUUCUAGCUGUUAAAAUUUACCUCAGAGAAUCUUGUAGUUAAUUAAGAUUUUGUUACAGAAACAGCAUAAAAACUUCGACCGCCAUGUGUUACGAAGCAUUGGUUGUCUCAAUCCUCCUUGGCUCCAGAAAGUAGCAGUAUCUAAUGUCACUAAGAAAAAAUGAAAGAGCCCUUUUUCCAUUGGGACUAAAGACCGCAUGUUAUUGUUAAAGGAAGGAUUUAUGACAAUCAAUUGAUUGUCGUAACAAAUGGUAGAGAAUUAAAGUUAAUACAGAUGCUGCUGAAACAACCAAUGAAUACAAAGGUAUUGUUUUUUUUUUUGGAGUCUCCACAAUUCAACAUUAUGCAGUUAAUUAUCGACCUGUAAGAGGGAGGUAACCGGACAUUACUUCAAAAACCACUGAAACAGCAAAUUGUCAGCAAUGGUAUUGUUUCUGGAUUUGGUUUGCUCAUCACACUAGUAAACUUUGGAACUUUACUUUCGAUAGUUAAUUAAGAUCGACGAUGGAGAAGACAAGGAAGAUCCCGUAGUUAGAAAAUUCCUUAACUUGCAUGUUAUAUCUAAUAGAAUUAUUUUUUUUAAGUUCAUUUUCAUUUGAAUUAAUUAUUGUUUUGCAUGCUCAUUAUAGUUUAUUUUAUUUGAGUUAAUUUUUGUUUGUAGAUGUUCUAACUUUUGUUUAGUAGAAGUUGUCUAACAUGUCUCUUGCUUACCUCUUCGCUUAGCUUACUGCAUAUUCUUACUUUAAAUUGCUUUGCAUUUACCCU
Long non-coding RNA from Agrilus planipennis (emerald ash borer), 1492 nucleotides. RefSeq lists it as uncharacterized. Lineage: Eukaryota; Metazoa; Arthropoda; Insecta; Coleoptera; Buprestidae. The transcript has 6 exons. The record is from RefSeq and is a predicted model, not a curated record.